GGGGAUCGCUCUAGGCCCCGCUGGAAACAGCGAACAGCGUCCCGUAAAGCCAAGUGCCGCAGUGACGGCUGUUAUGUAAAAAAUUAUUAAGAAAAUUAUUAAGAAAACUAGUGGGAAACACAGUGCGUAGAAGUGUUUGGCUCAUCGCACCUUGGCAACCAGGUGCUCUUGAGGGCAGAUAUUAGGAAAAUCUCUAUUUUUGUGACAGAGGACAAUAGUAAAGGUGGAACAUGAGGCAAAUACAAAGCUCUGAAGGGUUUCAAGAGCCACAAGGGUCCUGUAGCACUUGGGACUGCAGCUCAUAACUGGAAAUAAUUAACAUAUUUGCAUCACAAACUAGUACAAUGGAAAAAAAUCAGCAAAGGACUUAAAAGCACUUGGUGUGAAUAACUUAAUGCAGAUCUGAAAAACAACUGAAGGUUAAAACUCAAUUGACUCUGAAUGUGGUCCAUAUACAAACUAUUGAACUCAAGCUGAAUUCUCAUGCGAGUAUUAAAUUGCAGCACAGCCUUGAAUUGACCCUUUAGGAAGGAAACAAUGCAUAUAAUAGUGUGUUUGAUACCAAGAAGGCACUACAUAUAAGCAUGCAAGCAUUUGAACUUCAUGAAGGAAAAGAAAGCAGGAAAGAUAAAGGCAGUCAAAAAGGUGAAGAGUGCAUCUAAGAGAAGAGGAAAAAAAUCACACCACAUAUUGCCAUCUGAUUUAUCUAGGGUGAGUGUUACAGCCUUAAAAGUUUCCGAAUGGAAUCAUGUGUUGGGUCUCUGUAUCCUGUGGUCAUCAGCUACGAGCCACUACUCAUGUCGGGGUCUGACUACAUUGUACUGAUGCAAUCGGAUUAUAGCACCAGGUGGGAGGAUCGGCUUUCACUGCAGAAAGAAGAAUGAACUACUCUAAUGCACCAGAACAGUGGAGGGCUGAGCACAACAAAUAAGUAGCUGUCCUUUGAAGAUUUUUUUUCUUCCAGUGAUUAAACUUCCUGCUCAAGUGCUUAUACUAUACUUAUAGUGAAAGCCACUAGCUUGAAACAAUUUUCUAAUUUACAUUGCUUCUUCCUUCCCCCCCCUGCCACAGACACUCAAUUUCCAAUGCACUAUUUCAGAAAGGAAAACUUUAACAGCAAGGCUUAUUUUAUUAUGGAGCUCUAUUAUGCUGUUUAAAAAAAAAUCACUAAAACAUAUUCUGGAACAUUCUGUAAUGCUACAUUACUGUUACC
This 1213-nucleotide long non-coding RNA is filed under the name Manacus vitellinus (golden-collared manakin). Its description in RNAcentral is "lncRNA (ENSMVIG00005004127.1)". The record is from RNAcentral. Lineage: Eukaryota; Metazoa; Chordata; Aves; Passeriformes; Pipridae.